Molecule: long non-coding RNA, 1350 nt
Organism: Phasianus colchicus (ring-necked pheasant)
Lineage: Eukaryota; Metazoa; Chordata; Aves; Galliformes; Phasianidae
Source: RefSeq, a predicted model, not a curated record
AGGCAUGGGGAAUAAAGACGGGCAGCUGGGAAGAGCCCGAGUGGGAGAAGGGCCUCAUCUGCACCUCUGGUCUCUCCCCUGCAUUCACCUACUGCCACAUCCAGAAGGAUGAUAGAGUGAAAAGAAUUGCGCUCCAUUUUAAAUCUAAAGGGACUAUAUAUACAUUCCGUGGAAGGGUAUUUUUGAAAGGGCAUAACCUUUCUGAGUGUGUGCUACUCCAGAGACGUCAGCACAGGAAAGAGCUGGGUCACACCUGGCACUGCCACUGACUGCUUCGCUGCACGCACACUGCAAGUAUCUGACAGCUAUAGGAUUAGUUCUGCAGAACACAGCAAGCUGGCUGGAGGAUGCUUUUGGCUUGUUCACUCAUUGCUUGCUCUGUUUGCAAUGCAUUUUCUCUUUUAAGAUACACCCGAACAGUAGGAAAUCAAGUUUCUUCAGCACAAAACAAAUGAGAAAUUAGUUUCUGGCCCGAUCACAAAUGGGCACAUUAAAAAACGCGCAUUUUGUACAGUCAUUUCUGAGAACCUGAAAUCCUAAGGCUUGACUCUCCUAGCUGAAAGCAGCAUGAAGAAAGCAUUAUUCAUAAUGUUAAGAAAUUACUCGAAAGGAGGAAUUUGGAUGGAGGGAAUAGAAAAUACCUCAAAAUGGCACAUUCUAGACUUGCCCAUUAGAUGAAAUCAAAACUAACUAUUUUAAAUCCCAUUGGGUAAAUUAGCAUGACAGUAACAUCUGAUUUCCAAGAUACACAUCAGAGUGCACUUGUUCACAAUUAAAAAGUAAACAAUACAUAUCUAAGAGUCUUCUGUUUUUUUAAGCUUCAAACAAAGAUGCUAGUAGGAGUUUCAGGGAAACCUGGCUUUUCUCACUCUGCAGCAAUGAACCCAUUCGAGCAGUGCAACCAUUUGACCCUCAGACAACGUUUUUAAAUAGCAUGUGAGGACGGUCCCCAGGCUCCACCAUCAGAACUGAAGUUUCUGCUGCAUCAGCAGUGUGAACAGAGCUACUGGGCAAAACAUGAAAAUGCAAAGCUGAUGAUGUAGCCAGAACAAGUGGAUCACAAACAGCCUCUGCUGUGCGCCAGGCCCCCACCCCUCCAAAAUAGGAGAACGGCACUGUAUGACCUCACAGGAGAGAAACUUUUCCAAUAAGGUGCAGUCGUAUCCUCCAUGUCGAUCAGAGGAUCACCGUUGACUGUAGACAAGUUGGAAUGAAUGAAGAUGAUGACUGGGAGGAAACAGCAUCUUGAAAUACUCUUUGUGAGAGAUCCAAGUGAUCCCAUGGCUGCACCACAGCUUCAACAACUUGCUGUAUCACAUCUCUGAUCAGACUCGAUAGAUCCUUUGUACA